Molecule: ribosomal RNA, 433 nt
Filed under: uncultured bacterium
Lineage: Bacteria
Description: partial 16S ribosomal RNA
Rfam family: Bacterial small subunit ribosomal RNA
Source: RNAcentral
AACGAACGCCGGCGGCAUGCCUAACACAUGCAAGUCGAACGAGACCUUCGGGUCUAGUGGCGCACGGGUGCGUAACGCGUGGGAACCUGCCCUUAGGUUCGGAAUAACUCCCCGAAAGGGGUGCUAAUACCGGAUAAUGUCUUCGGACCAAAGAUUUAUCGCCUUUGGAUGGGCCCGCGUUGGAUUAGCUAGUUGGUAGGGUAAAAGCCUACCAAGGCGACGAUCCAUAGCUGGUCUGAGAGGAUGAUCAGCCACACUGGGACUGAGACACGGCCCAGACUCCUACGGGAGGCAGCAGUGGGGAAUAUUGGACAAUGGGCGAAAGCCUGAUCCAGCAAUGCCGCGUGAGUGAUGAAGGCCUUAGGGUUGUAAAGCCCUUUUACCCGGGAUGAUAAUGACAGUACCGGGAGAAUAAGCUCCGGCUAACUCCGUG